CGGCUAAUGGUCUAGAGGUAUGAUUCGCCCUUCGGGUUUUCCCGGCUGUGUUCCUACGGCCUCAGAGAAUGGGCGAGGCCCCCGGUUCGAAUCCGGGUUAGCCCC
This is a non-coding RNA of Mycena amicta, 105 nucleotides long. NCBI's taxonomy places the organism in Eukaryota, Fungi, Basidiomycota, Agaricomycetes, Agaricales, Mycenaceae. The record is from the annotation of a GenBank genome assembly.